This 213-nucleotide long non-coding RNA is filed under the name Phoenix dactylifera (date palm). RNAcentral's name for it is "long non-coding RNA (PDAC_LNC009584)". The record is from RNAcentral. Lineage: Eukaryota; Viridiplantae; Streptophyta; Magnoliopsida; Arecales; Arecaceae.
UUGUGUGUUGAGGAUGAUAGUGUUAUUUUGAUGAUUAACAAGUAAUUAUCUAGAGUAUGUUAUAAGUUAAAUUGAUACUUCAUUUAUAAGUUCAUUACUCUCAGUAUAUUUGUGUGAUUGAUAAUAGAUACAUGCUUUGUUCAUUUGAAUGAAUCUAACCUUGAGAAUGCAGCAAAGUGUGGAUUGAGUCGACCCAAAGAUUGUUUGAGUCGA